UACGGGGGGGGCAAGCGUUGUUCGGAAUUACUGGGCGUAAAGGGCGCGUAGGCGGCACGGCAAGUCGGGAGUGAAAGGCCUGGGCUCAACCGAGGAACUGCUUUCGAGACUGCCGAGCUAGAGUGCGGAAGGGGCAACUGGAAUUCCCAGUGUAGCGGUGAAAUGCGUAGAUAUUGGGAAGAACACCGGAGGCGAAGGCGGGUUGCUGGGCCGACACUGACGCUGAGGCGCGAAAGCCAGGGGAGCAAACGGG
Molecule: ribosomal RNA, 253 nt
Filed under: uncultured bacterium
Lineage: Bacteria
Description: partial 16S ribosomal RNA
Rfam family: Bacterial small subunit ribosomal RNA
Source: RNAcentral